GGGUCAGUAGGUUGGUCGUGCCACCGGUACGUACUGGUCUCACUGAUUCCUCCUUCCUGAAGAACCGUAAUGCCAUUAAUCUGGUGUUGCGGGGAAACAGGACUGUUACUUUGAAAAAAUUAGAGUGUUUAAAGCAAGCUAACGCUUGAACACAUUAGCAUGGAAUAAUGAAAUAGGACGAUCGAUCCCAUUUUGUUGGUUUCUAGGAUUGACGUA
RNAcentral lists this ribosomal RNA (216 nucleotides) under Glomeromycotina sp. RNAcentral describes it as "partial small subunit ribosomal RNA". The stretch from base 44 to 216 matches the Rfam family "Eukaryotic small subunit ribosomal RNA", at positions 690 to 864 of the family's 1831-position model. Lineage: Eukaryota; Fungi; Glomeromycota. The record is from RNAcentral.